AAAAAGGUCUUUAUCAAGACCAACAAACAUGAUUGAAUAAAGUAAA
Acyrthosiphon pisum (pea aphid) is the source of this 46-nucleotide non-coding RNA. The record is from Rfam. Lineage: Eukaryota; Metazoa; Arthropoda; Insecta; Hemiptera; Aphididae.